GACGAACGCUGGCGGCGUGCUUAACACAUGCAAGUCGAACGGAAAGGCCCUGCUUUUGUGGGGUGCUCGAGUGGCGAACGGGUGAGUAACACGUGAGUAACCUGCCCUGGACUUUGGGAUAACUUCAGGAAACUGGGGCUAAUACCGGAUAGGAGCUCCUGCUGCAUGGUGGGGGUUGGAAAGUUUCGGCGGUUGGGGAUGGACUCGCGGCUUAUCAGCUUGUUGGUGGGGUAGUGGCUUACCAAGGCUUUGACGGGUAGCCGGCCUGAGAGGGUGGCCGGCCACCUUGGGACUGAGAUACGGCCCAGACUCCUACGGGAGACAGCAGUGGGGAAUAUUGCACAAUGGGCGGAAGCCUGAUGCAGCAGCGCCGCGUGCGGGAUGACGGCCUUCGGGUUGUAAACCGCUUUAGCCUGUGACGAAGCGUGAGUGACGGUAAUGGGUAAAGAAGCACCGGCUAACUACGUG
Molecule: ribosomal RNA, 468 nt
Filed under: uncultured bacterium
Lineage: Bacteria
Description: partial 16S ribosomal RNA
Rfam family: Bacterial small subunit ribosomal RNA
Source: RNAcentral